Molecule: small RNA, 20 nt
Filed under: Arabidopsis thaliana (thale cress)
Lineage: Eukaryota; Viridiplantae; Streptophyta; Magnoliopsida; Brassicales; Brassicaceae
Description: ATSL230470
Source: RNAcentral
AGGAAAGAAGAAGAAAAAAA